GACGAACGCUGGCGGCGUGCUUAACACAUGCAAGUCGAGCGGUAAGGCCCUUUCGGGGGUACGACGAGCGGCGAACGGGUGAGUAACACGUGGGUGACCUCGCCCUCCAGCUCUGGGAUAAGCCUGGGAAACCGGGUCUAAUACCGGAUAUGACUCCAUGACGCAUGUUGUGGGGUGGAAAGCCUUGUGCGGCUGAGGAUGGGCCCGCGGCCUAUCAGCUUGUUGGUGGGGUGAUGGCCUACCAAGGCGACGACGGGUAGCCGGCCUGAGAGGGCGACCGGCCACACUGGGACUGAGACACGGCCCAGACUCCUACGGGAGGCAGCAGUGGGGAAUCUUGCGCAAUGGGCGAAAGCCUGACGCAGCGACGCCGCGUGAGGGAUGACGGCCUGUGU
This 395-nucleotide ribosomal RNA is filed under the name uncultured bacterium. RNAcentral's name for it is "bacterial SSU rRNA". It matches the Rfam family "Bacterial small subunit ribosomal RNA", at positions 28 to 421 of the family's 1533-position model. The record is from RNAcentral.